Molecule: non-coding RNA, 2618 nt
Organism: Vicugna pacos (alpaca)
Lineage: Eukaryota; Metazoa; Chordata; Mammalia; Artiodactyla; Camelidae
Source: RefSeq, a predicted model, not a curated record
GCAACAGAUUUCUGUAUACUUAUUUUGUAUCCUGUAACUUUACCGAAUUGACUUAUUCUGUUUUUUGGUGGCGUCUUUAGGGUUUCCUAUAUAUAAAAUCACGUCAUCUGUAAAAAGUGUGUUUUAUUUCUUCCUUCCAAUUUGGAUGCGCUUUAUUCUUUUUCUUGUGUUCUAAGUGUUCUCACUAGGGCUUCAGUACUAUGUUGAAUACCAUGUAAGAUUUGACAUAAGAGGCAAAAGUGGCCCGAAGAAAGGUUUGAAACUAAAUGUUGAGCAUUCACUGGCUUUCUGGAGCAACUCCUUCCUUUUUAUGAAGCCCCAUGUGGGUGAUGUAGGCAUUAGAAACAAUCCAGAGUUACUACUGCUGUGUAAUAAACCACCUCAAAACUUAAGAGGCUUAAACAGUAAUCAUUUUCUCUCAUGGUUUCUGUAGGCCAAGAAUUUGGAAAAGGCUCUGCUUGGCAGUUCUGACAGGGUGGCCGAUGUACUUGCAGUUAGACUGGCUGGAGCUGGAAUGAGAGGCAGCUGGAAAACUAAGGAGGGACUAGCCAGGCAUUUCUCUUUGCUUGUGGUUUCAGGGUCUCUCCGUGUAGUGUCUCCACGUGGUCUGGUUUGGGCUCGCUCAUAGCAUGGCGGCUUCAGGGCGGUACCCUUUUACAUGGUGGCUCAAGGACUAGCAGCUUGUGUGUUCCAACAAACCAGCCGUAAGCUACAUCGCCUUUUAUGACCUAGCCUUGGAAGCUAUAUAGCAUUACUUUUGUCAUAUCCAGUCACCUCUUGAUUCAGAGGAAGUCACAGACUUUAUUGACGUCUUAACAACUGCCACAUCCACCCUCACGAAACCCAUCUGGUGUGGGAGGCAAGGCCAGUCCAGACAGCACCACCGAGACAGUAUCAAAAGACAUAAUUACCAUAAGAGAGACGGUGGACUUCCCUUCUCGGCAAUGUCAAGACCUAACUCUGCUCCGCUGCCUCCUGAGUGUGGUGUUACAGGAGUUUACAUCAGUCUCCAACUUGGAAAUAGUAUCAGGGACUCUGAAUGUGGACUCAGUUUUACCAAGUCCUUCAGAGCAGACCAGGGGCUGAGGCAACUCACCAGGGUAAAUGGCCCGGCAGGGUGCCUGCACAAAGCACCCUCCCACCUUUCUUUAGAGAUCUGAACUUGCACCUGGGGGAAAUCAUCUUGAAAUGAGCACAGGAUAAAGGAGCCUGGGCCCAUCAGUGCUUCACAAUGACCACAAUCUCAGCAGAAGCCUCGGUAGCUAACACUACCCUGAGCAACUGAACCCCGACCAGUCUCCACCAUACUUGUCACAGAACUUCAAAGGGAACCUGACAGACACACCUAGAGAGCACAUGCCCCCCAGGAAGGUGGGCCGGACAGAGGCUGAAGCCUGGCAUCUGAGACCAUGACAGAACCAAGGACGGCCAAUGGGAGACAGGCAGCUUGAAGUCCGAUGCACAAAACACUGGUGUGCCGCAGCUGCCCCACAGCGGCAGAGGCUGUCUGGCAAAGCAGUCAACUCCCUCUUUUCUGGCAGAUUUCCUUCUAACAGAGCUGCCAGAGACAAGGGCACUUAAACCCCUCUUUGCUUCUGAGGACAGGAAUUUAAGGCUCUUUACCAUGAAAAUUGAAAGUAUCCUCAGGCCCAGCCUGGCCUACCUAUACACUGAAGUGAGCGGGUGACUAUUAAGUGAAAACUGGGUUCUGAAUCCAGCAGGGAAAGCAAGCCCCUGGCCUCCACCCAGGCAAGCAGCACUGCCCCGCCUCUUUCUCUGAGCUACUUCCAAGUAGACCCCAGGCGCGGAGCAUUAAAGACCACAGGUGCCGGUUGGUGGCGAUACGAGAAUGCCUGUUUUCUCCCUACAACUAUUUAACUUUCAAUAAGUGAGUAAAUUCCAAAAAGAGCAUUUUUUAAAAGUCAAUUCAAGGUUUUCUUAGACACAGAUAAUAAGCACCCAGAGAACCCUUAAUCCUGAAGUCACCAUUGGGAACAUCUUGGCCACCUAAGCACGUCCCUGCUAAUGGACCCUCCGGGAAGCAGCCCUCGAGGGCUGGGCUGAAUUUUGGGGAUGCAGCCCGACCAAGCCUAUAGUCAUCUCCAGAGUUCUGAAAUCCUGGCACAGUCACGAAAGCGGCCUUUCAUUCCAGGGUUACAUUUUUACAUGUGGACUUGAUCUAUGAGGUAACUCUUUCUUUUGUGGAAUCAUACCAUUACAGGUGGCGCAUGUUGACCGAACUCCUAGUUGCAGGACUAGACUCACUGCACCAGGGGUGGCGAAAAAACAGGCUGAAUUAUGCUCAUAAAACCCAAGAGACUGGCAACCCUGUUUCAGGUAUUUUUCUGAAAACCAGCAAACAUUCCACACUAAAAGAGGCGGCUGCUGAAAACCUACACUGGCUGGUGGAAAGGGACUUGAUUCCAUCUUGGCAAACGAGAAGCACCGUGGACUGACCUGUUGUUUGCUUUUGUCUUCUGUAGCUGCUCGUCCUGCCUCGCAUACCACUCUUCCAGCUCCUUUAUUGCUUUUUCUUUCCACUCUGCUUCCUGCUUCCGAGAAUUGGCAUCUUUGAAGGGAAGGAAAGACAACACAAAUAAAGCAACAUGCAAACUGAA